GUCAGGGAACUACGAGCAAAGCUUAAAACCCAAAGGACUUGACGGUACCCCAUAUCCCCCUAGAGGAGCCUGUCCUACAAUCGAUAAUCCCCGCUUAACCUCACCGCAUCUAGCUAAUCAGUCUGUAUACUUCCGUCGCCAGCCAACCACGUGAGCGAAGCUUAGUUUGCCCAAUGUCCACACAUAAAUGUGUACAAGUCGUCAACACGUCAGGUCAAAGUGCAGCAAACGAUGCGGGAAGAGAUGGGCUACACUCUUUAAUAUAAAAGAAACGAAUGACAAAAUGAAACUUUGUCGGAAGGCGGAUUUAGAAGUAAAAGGAAAGUAUUAAAUUUCUUUUAACCCGGCACUGGGGUGUGU
RNAcentral lists this ribosomal RNA (360 nucleotides) under Eleutherodactylus dimidiatus (miniature robber frog). Its description in RNAcentral is "partial 12S ribosomal RNA". It matches the Rfam family "Bacterial small subunit ribosomal RNA", at positions 871 to 1384 of the family's 1533-position model. The record is from RNAcentral. Lineage: Eukaryota; Metazoa; Chordata; Amphibia; Anura; Eleutherodactylidae.